This 334-nucleotide long non-coding RNA is filed under the name Parus major (Great Tit). RNAcentral describes it as "lncRNA (ENSPMJG00000001221.1)". Lineage: Eukaryota; Metazoa; Chordata; Aves; Passeriformes; Paridae. The record is from RNAcentral.
UAAGAUGAAGCUAAUUAAGGAACCUGGGCAAAGUAUGUGUGUCUGCAGUGCAGUCAAUAUCACUGCAGUCUGAGCAGAAAGGAGCAGAUCCACUGGGAAGCCCAAAGACAGCAGCAAACAGGACAGUUCAGGGAACUUCUGCAUGGCCCCACUUGCUGCUGAGAGCUGGAUGGAGUGGGGAUGGACAACUCUGGUCAAAGAUUUGGAACUGGGCAACACUGGAUCACCAAGAUGAGGUGACAGAGAUGAAGUCUCAGGAUCUUCCUUUUCAGUUCCCCCCAUUUUCUCUCCCAAGAACCCCCUUUUUAACAUGUGUUUUCAUUGUUGCCAAAAC